Molecule: long non-coding RNA, 207 nt
Filed under: Polistes fuscatus (common paper wasp)
Lineage: Eukaryota; Metazoa; Arthropoda; Insecta; Hymenoptera; Vespidae
Description: uncharacterized LOC122516239
Source: RNAcentral
AAUUAAAUUUUAGUCACCCGAACAACCACGCAAUGUACACUCAACGCGGAUGAGUGUCUACAUUUACCGAACAAUCAACUACCCUGCAACCUAAACCUGCUCGAUAGAUUUCAACCCUAAUUUAAAUACCAAACCCACUAUCCCAAAAGAAGCCAAAAAAGAAGACAGAGGGACGUAGGGAAAGAUUGUACGAAAGAUAAUACGAAA